AUAUCAAUAAGCGGAGGAAAAGAAACCAACAAGGAUUCCCCUAGUAACGGCGAGUGAACCGGGAAAAGCUCAAAGUUUAAAUCGACGUUCCUUGCGGGGCGCCGAGAUGUAAGCUCGAGACGGAAGCCCAGCGACGACCCGGGUAUAAGCUCCUUGGAACAGAGUGUCAGAGAGGGUGAGAAUCCCGUCUUUGACUCGGAGAUCAUCGCGUACGGGAACCGGUCAGAGAGUCGUGUACCUUGGGAAUGGUGCACUAAAUGGGUGGUAAAUUCCAUCUAAAGCUAAAUAUCGAUGGGAGACCGAUAGCGCACAAGUA
Molecule: ribosomal RNA, 316 nt
Filed under: uncultured eukaryote
Lineage: Eukaryota
Description: partial large subunit ribosomal RNA
Rfam family: Eukaryotic large subunit ribosomal RNA
Source: RNAcentral